Molecule: unclassified non-coding RNA, 116 nt
Organism: Callithrix jacchus (white-tufted-ear marmoset)
Lineage: Eukaryota; Metazoa; Chordata; Mammalia; Primates; Cebidae
Rfam family: Metazoan signal recognition particle RNA
About the family: The signal recognition particle (SRP) is a universally conserved ribonucleoprotein. It is involved in the co-translational targeting of proteins to membranes.
Source: Ensembl
GCCGGGUGUGGUGGCUCACACCUGUAAUCCUAAUACUCUGGGAGGCUGAGGUAGGUGGAUCACCUGAGGUCAGGAGUUCGAGACAGCCUGGCCAACAUGGCGAAACCCUGUCUCUA